GAUGAACGCUAGCUACAGGCUUAACACAUGCAAGUCGAGGGGAAACGCCAUCGAAAGCUUGCUUUUGAUGGGCGUCGACCGGCGCACGGGUGAGUAGCGCGUAUCCAACCUGCCCAUCACUUGGGAAUAACCUUGCGAAAGUAAGACUAAUACCCAAUGAUAUCCCACGAAGGCAUCGGAAUGGGAUUAAAGAUUUAUCGGUGAUGGAUGGGGAUGCGUCUGAUUAGCUUGUUGGCGGGGUAACGGCCCACCAAGGCAACGAUCAGUAGGGGUUCUGAGAGGAAGGUCCCCCACAUUGGAACUGAGACACGGUCCAAACUCCUACGGGAGGCAGCAGUGAGGAAUAUUGGUCAAUGGGCGAGAGCCUGAACCAGCCAAGUAGCGUGCAGGAUGACGGCCCUAUGGGUUGUAAACUGCUUUUAUAAGGGAAUAAAGUGGGUCUCGUGAGACUUUUUGCAUGUACCUUAUGAAUAAGGACCGGCUAAUUCCGUG
RNAcentral lists this ribosomal RNA (492 nucleotides) under uncultured bacterium. RNAcentral describes it as "partial 16S ribosomal RNA". It matches the Rfam family "Bacterial small subunit ribosomal RNA", at positions 28 to 507 of the family's 1533-position model. The record is from RNAcentral.